GACGAAGGAUCCAAGCGUCGUCCGGAUUUACUGGGUUUAAAGGGUGCGUAGGCGGAUUAAUAAGUCAGAGGUGAAAGCCUGCAGCUCAACUGUAGAAUUGCCUUUGAAACUGUUAAUCUAGAGUACAUUUGAGGUGGCUGGAAUAUAUCAUGUAGCGGUGAAAUGCUUAGAUAUGAUAUAGAACACCGAUUGCGAAGGCAGGUCACUAAGAUGAAACUGACGCUGAGGCGCGAAAGCGUGGGUAGCAAACAGG
RNAcentral lists this ribosomal RNA (253 nucleotides) under uncultured bacterium. Its description in RNAcentral is "partial 16S ribosomal RNA". It matches the Rfam family "Bacterial small subunit ribosomal RNA", at positions 524 to 776 of the family's 1533-position model. The record is from RNAcentral.